CGGCGGACCUCUCCGCCGGCGAGGGCGGCGCGCUGCCGGAGGCCGACGCCAAGAGGCUGCGGCCCGAGGACCUGCUCGACAUGCUCGACGAUGACACCGACGCGGCAACCGCCGGCGACCUGGCGUCCGUCAUGCGAAGCCUCGAGGAGGAGAUAGCCAGCUUCGACGAGGCCGGAGCCACCGCCGCCGCUGCGCCGCCGGCGCACCACCAGCAGCAGCCGGAGCUCGGGUUCCUGCUCGAGGCCUCGGACGACGAGCUCGGGCUCCCGCCGGCGGGGGCCUCCUCUUCGUCGGAGGACGCCGGCGGCGCGGCCGGGGAGGAGCCGGACGUGGCCGCCGGGCUCGACGGCCAGAUCUGGGGGUUCGAGGACGAGAUAGACGGAGGCUUCGGCGGCUACUCGCC
RNAcentral lists this long non-coding RNA (403 nucleotides) under Setaria italica (foxtail millet). RNAcentral describes it as "long non-coding RNA (SITA_LNC003477)". The record is from RNAcentral. Lineage: Eukaryota; Viridiplantae; Streptophyta; Magnoliopsida; Poales; Poaceae.